AGAGUUUGAUCCUGGCUCAGAUUGAACGCUGGCGGCAUGCUUUACACAUGCAAGUCGAACGGUAACAGGGGAGCUUGCUCCCGCUGACGAGUGGCGAACGGGUGAGUAAUGCAUCGGAACGUGCCGAAUAGUGGGGGAUAACGCACCGAAAGGUGUGCUAAUACCGCAUACGCCCUGAGGGGGAAAGUGGGGGACCGCAAGGCCUCACGCUAAUCGAGCGGCCGAUGUCGGAUUAGCUAGUUGGUGGGGUAAAGGCUCACCAAGGCGACGAUCCGUAGCGGGUCUGAGAGGAUGAUCCGCCACACUGGGACUGAGACACGGCCCAGACUCCUACGGGAGGCAGCAGUGGGGAAUUUUGGACAAUGGGGGAAACCCUGAUCCAGCCAUGCCGCGUGUCUGAAGAAGGCCUUCGGGUUGUAAAGGACUUUUGUCCGGGAGGAAACCCUGAUCGUUAAUAGCGGUCGGGACUGACAGUACCGGAAGAAUAAGCACCGGCCAACUACGUGCCAGCAGCCGCGGUAAU
Molecule: ribosomal RNA, 523 nt
Filed under: uncultured bacterium
Lineage: Bacteria
Description: bacterial SSU rRNA
Rfam family: Bacterial small subunit ribosomal RNA
Source: RNAcentral